GGAGAAUCAUAGAGUUUCUUAAUGUUCUGUAAAACAGUUAGCAAUGGAGCAACAGGACGUUGCUACAAGCAAAAGCCGUGACAUGGAUGUUACGUCUUUUGCGGUUGCGUGAGUAGCAGGUAUGCCGGCAGAACAUUUAGAAACACUUAGAUUCGUAA
RNAcentral lists this non-coding RNA (158 nucleotides) under pig gut metagenome. The record is from RNAcentral.